This 250-nucleotide ribosomal RNA is filed under the name uncultured bacterium. Its description in RNAcentral is "partial 16S ribosomal RNA". It matches the Rfam family "Bacterial small subunit ribosomal RNA", at positions 524 to 773 of the family's 1533-position model. The record is from RNAcentral.
UACGAAGGGGGCUAGCGUUGUUCGGAAUUACUGGGCGUAAAGCGCACGUAGGCGGACUCUUAAGUCAGGGGUGAAAUCCCGGGGCUCAACCUCGGAACUGCCUUUGAUACUGUGAGUCUCGAGACCGGAAGAGGUGAGUGGAAUUCCUAGUGUAGAGGUGAAAUUCGUAGAUAUUAGGAAGAACACCAGUGGCGAAGGCGGCUCACUGGUCCGGUUCUGACGCUGAGGUGCGAAAGCGUGGGGAGCAAAC